RNAcentral lists this long non-coding RNA (312 nucleotides) under Capsicum annuum. RNAcentral describes it as "long non-coding RNA (CANN_LNC018686)". Lineage: Eukaryota; Viridiplantae; Streptophyta; Magnoliopsida; Solanales; Solanaceae. The record is from RNAcentral.
UUUCCAUAUACCCCGCAAGUCCUAGAAUCUGAGCUCCAACUGUCUCCAUCGACCCCGCUAGUCCUAGAAUCUGAGCUUUAGGUAUCUCCAUCAACCCCCUAAGCCUUAUAACUGAGUAGAAAGGUCCUACUCCCUGGUUCAUUCCCUGUAUCUUCCAGUGAUUGUAAAGAAGGUCGAUAUUCUUGUUGUUUGGAUAGAUAUGAGGAAAAAAUGGAAUCAUCGUAGAUAGUAGGCCCUGCAGAUUAUUCAAGGUGGGAGUUUACCAAGUGGGGAUAUGGAUGAAAGGGAUAACAUGGAGAGUGUAGUUCAUGG